Cinara cedri is the source of this 256-nucleotide non-coding RNA. The record is from the annotation of a GenBank genome assembly. Lineage: Eukaryota; Metazoa; Arthropoda; Insecta; Hemiptera; Aphididae.
CAUCACUUUACUCAUAAGUUUGAAAACAUCAAAAGCACGUCCGCGGGGAUCAAAUUAACCCGGUAAUGAAAAAAAAAAGUAUUUUUGAUCCUUUUUGAAAUAGGUAGCUAUCUAACAUUGUAUGCUUUUGAACGAACCACCUAUUUAAAUAAAAUUAAUACGCGAUAGCACUGCGCGCAAACAAUGUCAUGUGGCAGGUUCAAAAUGAGAUUGUAUUACAAGUGGAGGGAUACCAGAAGUAAAAAAAAUAAAUACG